Molecule: ribosomal RNA, 303 nt
Filed under: uncultured bacterium
Lineage: Bacteria
Description: partial 16S ribosomal RNA
Rfam family: Bacterial small subunit ribosomal RNA
Source: RNAcentral
AGCAGCAGCCGCGGUAAAACAGAGGGUGCGAGCGUUAAUCGGAUUUACUGGGCGUAAAGCGUGCGUAGGCGGCUUCUUAAGUCGGAUGUGAAAUCCCUGAGCUUAACUUAGGAAUUGCAUUCGAUACUGGGAAGCUAGAGUAUGGGAGAGGAUGGUAGAAUUCCAGGUGUAGCGGUGAAAUGCGUAGAGAUCUGGAGGAAUACCGAUGGCGAAGGCAGCCAUCUGGCCUAAUACUGACGCUGAGGUACGAAAGCAUGGGGAGCAAACAGGAUUAGAUACCCCUGUAGUCCCUGUCUCUUAUAC